Molecule: ribosomal RNA, 91 nt
Filed under: uncultured bacterium
Lineage: Bacteria
Description: partial 16S ribosomal RNA
Rfam family: Bacterial small subunit ribosomal RNA
Source: RNAcentral
CGUGCAGGAUGAAGGCCCUUGGGUUGUAAACUGCUUUUCUUUGUGAGGAAUAUGACAGUAGCAGAGGAAUAAGGAUCGGCUAACUCCGUGC